GGUCGUCAACGACCCGUCUUGAAACACGGACCAAGGAGUCGAACAUUGGUGCGAGUGUUUGGGUGUUAAACCCUCACGCGUAAUGAAAGUGAACGGAGGUGAGAGCCUGUACGGGUGCAUCAUCGACCGAUCCUGAUGUCUUCGGAUGGAUUUGAGUAAGAGCAUCACUGUUCGGACCCGAAAGAUGGUGAACUAUGCGUGGAUAGGGUGAAGCCAGAGGAAACUCUGGUGGAGGCUCGCAGCGGUUCUGACGUGCAAAUCGAUCGUCAAAUCUGCGCAUGGGGGCGAAAGACUUAUCGAACCAUCUAGUAGCUGGUUACCGCCGAAGUUUCCCUCAGGAUAGCAGUGUUGUCUUCAGUUUUAUGAGGUAAAGCGAAUGAUUAGGGACUCGGGGGCGCUAUAUUGCCUUCAUCCAUUCUCAAACUUUAAAUAUGUAAGAAGCCUUUGUUGCUUAGUUGAACGUAGGCAUUCGAAUGUACCAACACUAGUGGGCCAUUUUUGGUAAGCAGAACUGGCGAUGCGGGAUGAACCGAACGCGGGGUUAAGGUGCCAGAGUGGACGCUCAUCAGACACCACAAAAGGUGUUAAUACAUCCUGACAGCAGGACGGUGGCCAUGGAAGUCGGAAUCCGCUAAGGACUGUGUAACAACUCACCUGCCGAAUGUAUUAGCCCUGAAAAUGGAUGGCGCUCAAGCGUCUCACCCAUACCUCGCCCUUAGGGUAGAAACGAUGCCCUAAGGAGUAGGCGGCCGUGGAGGUUAGUGACGAAGCCUAGGGCGGAGCCCG
RNAcentral lists this ribosomal RNA (786 nucleotides) under Hypoxylon lenormandii. RNAcentral's name for it is "partial large subunit ribosomal RNA". It matches the Rfam family "Eukaryotic large subunit ribosomal RNA", at positions 636 to 1425 of the family's 3401-position model. The record is from RNAcentral. Lineage: Eukaryota; Fungi; Ascomycota; Sordariomycetes; Xylariales; Hypoxylaceae.